AUGGCGUCCGUUGCUUCUUUUCUUACUUUAUUUUGUUUAUUAUUAUUUCGCGUCGUCGAUUUUUCACGUCGCCUGUGCACACGACAAGAACCAGAACGGCAAAGAAGAAGUGAAAAGAAAACUCACAGAAGGAUGAACACCGAAGAGCACGACUGUAUAUUUUUUUCCCAAGAUAUGAUGGGCAGUGGUGUGUUGGAUUGCAUUGCAUUGAUGGCAUGGUGGCCUAGUCUAGUCGGCAGCACGGAGAAGGGAGGAGACGGAGAUGGAGGUUGGAGUGGCGACCGGCGGACGCCGGUGGCAUGGUGCUGCCAUUACUGA
This 318-nucleotide ribosomal RNA is filed under the name Triticum aestivum (bread wheat). RNAcentral's name for it is "partial small subunit ribosomal RNA". The record is from RNAcentral. Lineage: Eukaryota; Viridiplantae; Streptophyta; Magnoliopsida; Poales; Poaceae.